Durotheca rogersii is the source of this 103-nucleotide non-coding RNA. NCBI's taxonomy places the organism in Eukaryota, Fungi, Ascomycota, Sordariomycetes, Xylariales, Xylariaceae. The record is from the annotation of a RefSeq genome assembly.
GACUGCUUGGCGCAAUGGUAGCGCGCGGUCCUCCUAUUUACAGGCUAGCUUGCUAAAUGGGCAGUGAAGACUGAGGUUGCGGGUUCGAGUCCCGUGGUGGUCG